UCCGCCCGGUUUGAGCUCGUUUUGGUUCCAAGCUUGAUAUCUCAAGCUACCGGCCAACAAUCCUCACCAAACUUCACCCACGAGCUCGCCUCAACGUCCUGAAGCUCCCAGAAGUGGCCUUGCACGGCGGCGCUACUCGUGGUGGCGGCUGGAAGCCAGACCCGAUCAAAUCGAAAAACCGAAGCUUCGAUCGGUAUAUCUCGAGCUGUAGUGCAUCGUUUUGAUUGAUUCUUUUUCCAGUGGGUUCCCCUUGAUGUUGUUAACAACUCUCUAGAAGGCAUCGAGGCCUGAAAUUGAAGUUUUUACGUCGAUCGGAGCCCUCGCCGGAUUCUGCAAAAUUCUGCAAAUUUUCCGACCACCGAAGCUUUCGAUCGGUAUAUCUCGAGCUACAGACCAUAUUUUUCUGUGAUUCUUGAACCAAUGCGUUCGUCUUGAGUUUCUUAACAACUCUCUAGAAGGAAUCGAAGCCUGAAAUUGAAGUUUUGACGUCGAAAUCAAGCCUUGCCGGAUUCUGCAAAUUUCGCCGGAUUCUGGAAAUUUUCCGGCCACCUCGACUGUUCUAGGUUAUCGACGGAUUGAUUUGGUGGACGAUUCGGAUUGAUGUAUUUGGCUUUUUAGAAGACGCAGCUGGAUUAGAGCGGGAAAUCCUACAGGUCAGGAAGAUCAAGGCGGAGAUCGUGCGGGUUAGAGUUUUUGUUUCAGUUUACAGCUUUGUAAAUUGUGAGAUGUAUUAUUAAGAGGUGUGAAGUGUGGUUGUUGUGAGAAAAAAAUUCAGGACGUUUAUUCUAUUAAGUUGUAUAAUUCAUGUUUCGGAUUUUAAUUGUAUUUAAAAUUCGGGGCGUGACAGUUUGGUAUCAGAGCGUAAGGUACAUAUUUGGUGACGUGUCAAUACCUUCCGAGUGAUGGCCCGUCUGCAGCGGAUCCCCAUCGUGCGCUCUUCGGUAUUGGCUAAGUCAUUGGGUAUGUGUGAGUGUUGGAAGUUGUUUAGGCCGCUAAGUCGUUUUAGGAACGUUAACACCUUCCCUGUAGUAUUGACUUGGUUAAUAUGGACUUGUAUUUGACUUAUACUGUGUUUUAAGUGUUAUACGUGUAUUAGCCAAGCAUACUAUAUUUCUUAGGUGUUGAAUAUUCGAAGGAGUAGUACUUAGAACUACAGAGUUGUCUUGUAGGUUCGUAUUUGAAUAAGUUCAGUUACCGCGAGUUAUAAUCUUUAAGGGAUGGAAACCUUCGGAUUUAACUCUAUUGAGUUAGGGUGAUUGUUUUAUGGAAGUGAGGUUCUUUUGGAUGUUGAGGUGUUUGGUUGAAGGCAUGAUGUUGGCCUAUGCACGUACCUAGUGUGGAUACGAGUAUGAAUUGAUGGAAUUUUUGCCUUAUUAGGUUGGAUAUACAGAUGUUUUUGAUUUGAUUCUUGACUCAUGUGGAGUGGUGGGUAGUAUUGCGGUUUGGGAAUGAAUUAUUGUGGUUAAUUCUUCCAUGUGUUUGUAAGUUGAUGAGCAGGGUUUAAGUUGUGAGAAAGGAGUUUGAUCUCGUGUUUGAGUGAUUGAGACGAACGACUAUAUAUUUGAGGUUGUUU
Rosa rugosa (rugosa rose) is the source of this 1573-nucleotide long non-coding RNA. RefSeq lists it as uncharacterized. The record is from RefSeq and is a predicted model, not a curated record. Lineage: Eukaryota; Viridiplantae; Streptophyta; Magnoliopsida; Rosales; Rosaceae. The transcript has 3 exons.